UGGGGCGUCGCCAAGCGGCAAGGCACCGGAUUUUGAUUCCGGCAUACCCAGGUUCGAAUCCUGGCGCCCCAGCCA
RNAcentral lists this transfer RNA (75 nucleotides) under Desulfuromonadaceae bacterium. Its description in RNAcentral is "tRNA-Gln". It matches the Rfam family "tRNA". From Rfam's summary of the family: Transfer RNA (tRNA) molecules are approximately 80 nucleotides in length. Lineage: Bacteria; Pseudomonadati; Thermodesulfobacteriota; Desulfuromonadia; Desulfuromonadales; Desulfuromonadaceae. The record is from RNAcentral.